AGGGAAUCUUCCGCAAUGGGCGAAAGCCUGACGGAGCAACGCCGCGUGAGUGAUGAAGGUCUUCGGAUCGUAAAACUCUGUUAUUAGGGAAGAACAAAUGUGUAAGUAACUAUGCACGUCUUGACGGUACCUAAUCAGAAAGCCACGGCUAACUACGUGCCAGCAGCCGCGGUAAUACGUAGGUGGCAAGCGUUAUCCGGAAUUAUUGGGCGUAAAGCGCGCGUAGGCGGUUUUUUUAAGUCUGAUGUGAAAGCCCACGGCUCAACCGUGGAGGGUCAUUGGAAACUGGAAAACUUGAGUGCAGAAGAGGAAAGUGGAAUUCCAUGUGUAGCGGUGAAAUGCGCAGAGAUAUGGAGGAACACCAGUAGCGAAGGCGACUUUCUGGUCUGUAACUGACGCUGAUGUGCGAAAGCGUGGGGAUCAAACAGGAUUAGAUACCCUGGUAGUCCACGCCGUAAACGAUGAGUGCUAAGUGUUAGGGGGUUUCCGCCCCUUAGUGCUGCAGCUAACGCAUUAAGCACUCCGCCUGGGGAGUACGACCGCAAGGUUG
Molecule: ribosomal RNA, 550 nt
Filed under: uncultured bacterium
Lineage: Bacteria
Description: bacterial SSU rRNA
Rfam family: Bacterial small subunit ribosomal RNA
Source: RNAcentral